AUGUAUGUGCUCCUUGCCCACCCGGCAGUGCCACGCGUGUGCUCCCAGUCUGUCCAUCACUGCCACAUGUGUGUUCCGUGUCCAUCAGUGCCAUGUGUGCUCCCAGUCUGUCCAUUAAUGCCAUACAUGUGGUCCCAUGCUGUCCAUCAGUACCAUGCACAUGCUCCUGGUCUGUCCAUUGGUGCCACGUGUGUGUUCUACGUCCACCCGGCAGUGCCACACGUGUGCUCCUGCUCCGUCCCGUCACUGCCACGCAGCUGGUCCCCAUCCAUCGACUGGUACCACGUGUGUGCUGCCUGCCCAUCAGUGCCAUGUAUGUGCUCCUUGCCCACCCAGCAGUGCCACACGUGUGCUCCCAGGCUGUCCAUCACUGCCACAUGUAGUCUUGGUCUGUCCAUCAGUGCCACACAUGUGGUUCCAGUCUGCCCAUCAGUGCCACACGUGUGUUCCGUGUCCAUCAGUGCCACAUGUGCACCCAAUAUGUCCAUUAAUGCCAUACAUGUAUUCCCAUGCUGUCCAUCAGUACUAUGCACAUGCUCCUGGUCUGUCCAUUGGUGCCAUGUGUGUGCUCCGUGCCCACCCAGCAGUGCCACACGUGUGCUCUUGGUCUGUCCAUCAGUGCCACACAUGUGGUUCCAGUCUGCCAAUCAGUGCCACACGUGUGUUCCGUGUCCAUCAGUGCCACAUGUGCACCCAAUAUGUCCAUUAAUGCCAUACAUGUGUUCCCAUGCUGUCCAUCAGUGCCACCCACAUGGUCCUGGUCUGUCCAUUGGUGCCACGUGUGUGUUCUACGUCCACCCGGCAGUGCCACGCGUGUGCUCCUGCUCCGUCCCGUCACUGCCACGCAGCUGGUCCCCAUCCAUCGACUGGUACCACGUGUGUGCUGCCUGCCCAUCAGUGCCAUGUAUGUGCUCCUUGCCCACCCAGCAGUGCCACACGUGUGCUCCCAGGCUGUCCAUCACUGCCACAUGUAGUCCUGGUCUGUCCAUCAGUGCCACACAUGUGGUUGCAGUCUGCCCAUCAGUGCCACACGUGUGUUCCGUGUCCAUCAGUGCCACAUGUGCACCCAAUAUGUCCAUUAAUGCCAUACAUGUAUUCCCAUGCUGUCCAUCAGUACUAUGCACAUGCUCCUGGUCUGUCCAUUGGUGCCAUGUGUGUGCUCCGUGCCCACCCAGCAGUGCCACACGUGUGCUCUUGGUCUGUCCAUCAGUGCCACACAUGUGGUUCCAGUCUGCCAAUCAGUGCCACACGUGUGUUCCGUGUCCAUCAGUGCCACAUGUGCACCCAAUAUGUCCAUUAAUGCCAUACAUGUGUUCCCAUGCUGUCCAUCAGUGCCACCCACAUGGUCCUGGUCUGUCCAUUGGUGCCACGUGUGUGUUCUACGUCCACCCAGCAGUGCCACGUGUGUGGUCCUGGUCUGUCCAUCACUGCCACACAUGUGGCUCCAGUCUGCCCAUCAGUGCCACACAUGUGUUCCAUGUCCAUCAGUGCCACAUGUGCUACCAGUCUGUCCAUUAA
Molecule: long non-coding RNA, 1518 nt
Filed under: Calidris pugnax (ruff)
Lineage: Eukaryota; Metazoa; Chordata; Aves; Charadriiformes; Scolopacidae
Description: lncRNA (ENSCPUG00000005586.1)
Source: RNAcentral